UCCAGUCCAACUGGUUGAUACACCUGGGUUUUACUCAUGAUACCUGAGUUCGAACCCAUCUUGAGGCAGUUUAUUCCCCUCUGAGGUCACUAGUACACAAGGCUUUUGUUGGUGCGAUGCAGUUUAUAUUGAUGGUGCGGUUCACUCAAACACCGCACCUUUACAUCUUGCUUUACAAAUUCCACCAACUUUAAAUCUUCCAUUUACAUUUUCCCCCCUUUUGUUGCCCUGUUCCCGCUUGUUUCCAUUUACGUUUUCCCUCCCUCAUGAAUUUCUCACUCUCACAAACCCUAAUCGAACCCCAACCCUCUCUAUUACAUCCAUCUGGUUCCCUUUAGCACCUCUCACUACGGAUACCUUCCAGUGCACCAUCGUUGCCCUCUAUUGCACCGUCGUUUCCCUUUAGUUCAGCGCAUCUCUACUGUCCGUUGUGUCCAGUUGUCCACUAAGUUCAUAUGAGUUGAGUUGGAAAUGGUGAAGAUUCAUGUACUUGCAAAGGAUAAAAGUUGGAACUGUUGAAUGCGCUUCAGGUUAUAGUUAAGACACUUCGAAUGCUUUACAUAUACCGUCUUUUUUGCUUCUGUUUUGGUUUUUUUUCUCCACAAUUUAGUUGGUCUGAUUUGGCAUUUAGU
This 632-nucleotide long non-coding RNA is filed under the name Helianthus annuus (common sunflower). Its description in RNAcentral is "sRNA HanXRQr2_Chr13g0611291". The record is from RNAcentral. Lineage: Eukaryota; Viridiplantae; Streptophyta; Magnoliopsida; Asterales; Asteraceae.